Molecule: transfer RNA, 53 nt
Filed under: Dysdera montanetensis
Lineage: Eukaryota; Metazoa; Arthropoda; Arachnida; Araneae; Dysderidae
Description: tRNA-Leu
Source: RNAcentral
ACCAUUUUGGCAGAAUUUUCAUUGCAAAAGACUUAGAAUCUUAAUAACCUUUU